This 301-nucleotide ribosomal RNA is filed under the name uncultured bacterium. RNAcentral's name for it is "partial 16S ribosomal RNA". It matches the Rfam family "Bacterial small subunit ribosomal RNA", at positions 509 to 807 of the family's 1533-position model. The record is from RNAcentral.
CAGCAGCCGCGGGAAUACGAAGGGUGCAAGCGUUACUCGGAAUUACUGGGCGUAAAGCGUGCGUAGGUGGUUGUUUAAGUCUGCUGUGAAAGCCCUGAGCUCAACCUGGGAAUUGCAGUGGAUACUGGGCAACUAGAGUAAGGUAGAGGAUAGUGGAAUUUCCGGUGUAGCAGUGAAAUGCGUAGAGAUCGGAAGGAACAUCUGUGGCGAAGGCGACUAUCUGGGCCAUUACUGACACUGAGGCACGAAAGCGUGGGGAGCAAACAGGAUUAGAUACCCCAGUAGUCCCUGUCUCUUAUAC